RNAcentral lists this ribosomal RNA (497 nucleotides) under uncultured bacterium. RNAcentral describes it as "partial 16S ribosomal RNA". It matches the Rfam family "Bacterial small subunit ribosomal RNA", at positions 28 to 507 of the family's 1533-position model. The record is from RNAcentral.
GAUGAACGCUGGCAGCGUGCCUAAUACAUGCAAGUCGAGCGAACAGACGAGGCGCUUGCUCCUCUGACGUUAGCGGCGGACGGGUGAGUCACACGUGGAUACCCUCCCUAUCAGACUGGGAUAACUUCGGGAAACCGGCGCUAAUACCGGAUAAUAUAUUGCACCGUAUGGUUCAUUAGUGAAAGACGGUUUUGCUGUCACUUCUAGAUGCAUCCGGGCCGCAUUAGCUAGUUGGGAAGGUAACGGCUUACCAAGGCAACGAUGCGUAGCAGAACUGUGAGGGUGGUAGGCGACACGGGAACGGAGACACGGUCAAGGGGACUACGAGAGGGAGCAGUAGGGAAUGGUACGCAAUGGGCGAAAGCAUGACGGAGCAGCGGCGAGUGAGAGAUGGAGGUCUUCGGAUCGUAAAACUCUGUUAUGAGGGAAGAACAAAUGUGGAAGUAACUAUGCACGGCGUGACGGUAAUGAAUCAGAAAGCCACGGCUAACUACGUG